RNAcentral lists this ribosomal RNA (253 nucleotides) under uncultured bacterium. Its description in RNAcentral is "partial 16S ribosomal RNA". It matches the Rfam family "Bacterial small subunit ribosomal RNA", at positions 524 to 776 of the family's 1533-position model. The record is from RNAcentral.
UACAGAGGUCCCAAGCGUUGUUCGGAUUCAUUGGGCGUAAAGGGUGCGUAGGCGGCCUGUUAAGUCGGGUGUGAAAGCCCUGGGCUCAACCCAGGAAGUGCACUCGAAACUGGCAGGCUUGAAUAUGGAAGAGGGUCGCGGAAUUCCCGGUGUAGAGGUGAAAUUCGUAGAUAUCGGGAGGAACACCAGUGGCGAAGGCGGCGACCUGGGCCAAUAUUGACGCUGAGGUGCGAAAGCGUGGGGAGCAAACAGG